CAAAACACACAUACUAACACACCUUCAAUUUCACAUACUCACAAGUCAUAACAAUAAUAAAUGGACCUAAAAAGAAAGUCCAUGUCCAGUACUACAACUUUUAAUAUUUUUGGUAUUCAUAUUUUCUUGUCAAUGAACCUUAUCACUUAUUAGUCUAAAUACCAAUCCCCAAACGACCCAAAAAUAUCAUAACAAAGGUCCAGUUUGGUUUUAUCGGGUUCAAGCCCAAUUCUCUUUCUCUCUCCUGUCUCUCUCUCUCCCCUUUCUCUCCUUUCUCCCUCUCCGACUGAAACCCUAGAUCUGGUUCACUAUCGGAGACUGAAAAUUCCGGUAAGCUCCAUUUCAUUAUCUGGGUUAUGCUCAAAUUCGAGUUAUGUUAUCUGGGUUUUGCUCAAAAUUGAAUUUUCGCAUCUGGGUUUUGCUCAAUAUCGAAUUUUGUUAUCUUGGUUUUGCUCAAAAUCGAAUUUUGUUAUAUGGGUUUGCUCAAAAUCGAAUUUUGGUUUUUGGGUUUUGCUCAAAAUCGAAUUCUGAUAUUUGAGUUUCACUCAAAAUCAAUUUUUUUACUUCAGGUAUAGUACCCUUUUCUCUCCCCUUUCUCCCUCCUGCUGAAACCCUAGAUCUGGUUUACUAUCGGAGCCUGAAAAACCCG
This 649-nucleotide long non-coding RNA is filed under the name Nicotiana benthamiana. Its description in RNAcentral is "long non-coding RNA (NBEN_LNC024308)". Lineage: Eukaryota; Viridiplantae; Streptophyta; Magnoliopsida; Solanales; Solanaceae. The record is from RNAcentral.